GUCGAGUCCGCCCCGUGCUCCCACGACCGGCUAUGCCUGCGUACUUUGGACAGUGAAGCUCGUGAACGCGUUUUCAUCAGUACUGUUUUCUUCCCCCUCCCCUCCACGAGACAACAUCUUUUCAUGCGGGAGACUACGCACACCCCAUCUUCAGCCAGGACGGGGACUACCCAGCCGUAAUGCGUCAGAGGGUGGACGCCAACAGCGCAGCAGAGGGGCGGCCCCGCUCGCGGUUGCCAACUUUCACUCAGGAGGAGAUAGCAUACCUCAGAGGUUCGUCUGAUUUUUUCGGGGUGAAUCAUUACCACACGAACAUUGUGACAUCAGGGGAAUCUGGAGUAUCUCCGUCCAAGACAAGGGAUUCCGGCAUUGUCAG
This is a long non-coding RNA of Schistocerca serialis cubense, 376 nucleotides long. RefSeq lists it as uncharacterized. NCBI's taxonomy places the organism in Eukaryota, Metazoa, Arthropoda, Insecta, Orthoptera, Acrididae. The transcript is spliced from 3 exons. The record is from RefSeq and is a predicted model, not a curated record.